Carcharodon carcharias (great white shark) is the source of this 2664-nucleotide long non-coding RNA. RefSeq lists it as uncharacterized. The record is from RefSeq and is a predicted model, not a curated record. NCBI's taxonomy places the organism in Eukaryota, Metazoa, Chordata, Chondrichthyes, Lamniformes, Lamnidae. The transcript has 2 exons.
GUCAAUCAGCCGGGCAUUGUGAUCUGGAGCAUGCGCAGUGCACUUAUGCACGGGACGUGGAGCCGCUGGUGAGAAACUGCCGGAGGAGCGGAAGGGAUGGAGCCGGAAGAAAAGUGGUGUUAGAAGAGGAGGAUUUGUAGUCAGGAAAAACAAAACAAACCUCAUGUCAAAACCUGAAAGUCAUUUGAUUCAUCAGGAUUUGAAGAUUUGUACAUCUGAAGGGAUUUAAUUGACUGCCUCAGCUGGAAACUGGUGAGAGGCUAUUCACCUGCUCCUCCUGUGGGAAGGGAUUGAUACAGCUGGUAAACAUGCUGACAAGACAGCUCACAAUAGUGAGAGGCUGUUCACCUGCUCUGUGUGGGAAGAAAUUCAUGUGUUCAUCCAACCUGCUGGCACACCAGCUCGAUCACUUUGAUAAGGAGCCUCUUCAAUGUUCUGACUCUGAGAAAAGCUUUGAAAUCUCCGAGGAACUGACACCAACACCAGCAAGUUCACACUGACAAGAGACCGUUCAGCUGCUCCCACUGCGGGAAGAGGUUCAGGCUGUCCUCCCGCCUCGCGGAGCACCAGCUCCUUCACAUCUACAGGAGGCCGUUCAGCUGCUCUCCCUGUGGGGAGUCGUUCAGUGAGUCAGUGCAUCUCACUGAGCACCAGCCAGUUCACACCAAGGACAGGCCGUUCAGCUGUUCCCAGUGUGGGAAGAGAUUCACUCAGUCCUCCCAUUACACUGAGCACCAAUUGGUUCACUCAGAAAAGAGACCUUUUAAAUGUACUGAAUGUGAGAAGACCUUUAAAAGAAGCAUUAAUCUGCUGAGAUACCAGUGUAUUCACACUGGGGAGAGGCCGUUCCUCUGCUGCGUCUGUGGGAAGAGAUUCACUCAUUCAUUCCACCUUAUGAUACAUAAGCGAGUUCACACUGCAGAGAGACCAUUCACCUGCUCCCUGUGUGGGAAGGGAUACAGUCGGUCAUCUGAACUUAUGAUACACAAGCGAUUUCACACUGGGGAGAGACCGUUCAGCUGCUCCGAGUGUGGGAAGGGAUUCACUCGUUCAACCCACCUUUCAAUGCACAAGCGAAUUCACACUGGGGAGAGACCAUUCCCUUGCUGUGUGUGUGGGAAGAGAUUCACUCAGUCAUCCACCCUGCUCACACACGAGAGUUCACACCGGAGAGAGACCGUUCACCUGCUUCGUGUGUGGGAAGAGCUUCCCUCGUUUGAGCCUCGUGUUGGUACACGAGCGCAUUCACACCGGGGAGAGGCCGUACAUUUGCCCCGUGUGCGGGAGGGGAUUUACUUGUUUACACCACCUGCUGAGACACCAGCCUGUUCACACCGGGGAGAGGGCGUUCAUGUGCUCUGUGUGUGGGAAGUGUUUCACUGAGUCGUCCAGCCUCCAGAAACACCAACGCAUCCACACUGGAGAGAGACCGUUCACCUGCUCCAUGUGUGGGAAGAAAUUUGUUCAGUCAUUUGAUCUGGUGAGACACGAGUGAGUUCACACCAGGAAGAAGCUGCUCACCUGCUCCAUGUGUGAGAAGAGAUUUACUCGCUCAUCCAGCCUGCUGAAACACCAGCAACUUCACAUGUCACCGACAAAGUUGGAUUGUGUUGUUGCUGCUGUAGAUCAUGUCCAGGACUGAACCUUUUCUCCUUUCUAAUUCCAGAUUAUUUCAAUUCUCAGACCUUCUGUUACUCUCAAGGACAAUUCCUAGCUCCCCAUACCUUCCCGAGUAUUUUCCCUAGCCUUGGGAUCCAGGGAAGGUAUUGGUAACACACGUGGGAUCACUAAACACAAAACCCAAUCUAUUAUUCACUUUCAGGUACUGGAAUUAGUGUGUGUCCCACAGCAUCUCUCUCACCUUUGAACAUCACACCUGUAAAGGAGGUUUAAUUUAGAUCCUCAUAAACUUAACAGGAACCAGCAGACUCUGUUAAACUGUUAGUGUGCUCCUGUAUUGCUCUGUAUUUUGCCUGUAAUGGAAAAUGCCUGAAUCCUUUGUCCCAGUGGAACCUUUGCUGUUAUGAAAUGUGGGAGAAUAUUAAUGAGUCUCUCAUCCUUGCCCAUGUCUGCUGCAAUUGUGUAGACAGUAACACAGCCUUGUGCUCACACCCAGAACAAUGCACAGAUAUCCUUGUGUUUAUGGUUUGAGCAGGGUCAGAUCACGGAUGUAAUGAACAAUUAUAAAUAUCUCCAGUGUAGCUGCAGCUUUUUAGAUCAGAGCUGGGGAGAAGAGAGCUCUGAAUCCACUGUAUUAUCUGUUCUCUGGAUCAGGUAACUACAUUUUUUCAAUAUAACUGUUUUAUUCAAGAAAUACAUUCACAGCUCAAAGACUGAAUUGUAACUUACAGCAAGAAAAUUCAUAAAAUUUAAUAUAGAUAUAUAAUCUAGUUAAAAACAUGGGGAAUAUGUGACAAUCUGUCAUAACAAAAAUCGGCAAACAAAUGCAGCAAGUAACAGGGAAGCUGUGAACGAGAUAUUAGAGGAAGGAAUAUUGAAUUAAAAUUAUGUUAAAAUUACAGACCAAUCCACCAUUCCUAUAUUACAGGCUCUGAAGUAUAUAAAUGAUGACAUUUAUAAUUACUUCAUAGAGGAUUGGAACCAUGUAAGGAAUUACUCUGUCUGUAUGAUUGCAGUGCUGUUAAUAAAGUCAGGAAAAGACAA